ACGUAGGAGGCGAGCGUUAUCCGGAUUUACUGGGUGUAAAGCGCGUGCAGGCGGUUUGAUAAGUUGGAUGUGAAAGCUCCUGGCUCAACUGGGAGAGGUCGUUCAAGACUGUCAGACUUGAGGAUGGUAGGGGAAGGUGGAAUUCCGGGUGUAGUGGUGAAAUGCGUAGAUAUCCGGAGGAACACCAGUGGCGAAGGCGGCCUUCUGGACCAUAACUGACGCUCAGACGCGAAAGCUAGGGUAGCAAACG
This 250-nucleotide ribosomal RNA is filed under the name uncultured bacterium. RNAcentral's name for it is "partial 16S ribosomal RNA". It matches the Rfam family "Bacterial small subunit ribosomal RNA", at positions 525 to 774 of the family's 1533-position model. The record is from RNAcentral.